Molecule: ribosomal RNA, 394 nt
Filed under: uncultured bacterium
Lineage: Bacteria
Description: partial 16S ribosomal RNA
Rfam family: Bacterial small subunit ribosomal RNA
Source: RNAcentral
AUACGUAGGGAGCGAGCGUUGUCCGGAAUUACUGGGCGUAAAGGGCGCGUAGGCGGCGCUUCAAGUCGUCUGUCAAAUGGAAGGGCUUAACCCUUUUUCGCAGACGAAACUGGAGAGCUUGAGAAGCAGAGAGGCAAACAGAAUUCCUGGUGUAGCGGUGAAAUGCGUAGAUAUCAGGAAGAAUACCAGUGGCGAAGGCGGUUUGCUGGCUGCAUACUGACGCUGAAGCGCGAAAGCCAGGGGAGCGAACGGGAUUAGAUACCCCGGUAGUCCUGGCAGUAAACGAUGUAUGCUGGGUGUGAGACUAGCGAUAGUUUCGUGCCGAAGUUUACGCGAUAAGCAUACCGCCUGGGGAGUACGGUCGCAAGAUUGAAACUCAAAGGAAUUGACGGGG